GCAAGUGGAGUAGGUCAUUUGACCGAACCACUCUAAAAAUCGGCGUAAUCUCUGGUUUGCAUUUUAUUAUUGUCAUUUACAUUACUGCAAAUCUUCUUACUGCUUUAGUUCCUUAUUACCCUUGCUGCGUAAUUUUAAGAAUACGCUUUCAAGUUAAACUUUUCAAGUUCCGUUCUUAUCGUACGAAAGAUCUUGUUAAAAUCGAAGUUUUAAUCCGCUGCACUAAUUCACC
Molecule: long non-coding RNA, 232 nt
Filed under: Musa acuminata (dwarf banana)
Lineage: Eukaryota; Viridiplantae; Streptophyta; Magnoliopsida; Zingiberales; Musaceae
Description: long non-coding RNA (MACU_LNC010595)
Source: RNAcentral